Molecule: ribosomal RNA, 497 nt
Filed under: uncultured bacterium
Lineage: Bacteria
Description: partial 16S ribosomal RNA
Rfam family: Bacterial small subunit ribosomal RNA
Source: RNAcentral
GAUGAACGCUGGCGGCGUGCCUAAUACAUGCAAGUCGAGCGAACAGACGAGGAGCUUGCUCCUCUGACGUUAGCGGCGGACGGGUGAGUAACACGUGGAUAACCUACCUAUAAGACUGGGAUAACUUCGGGAAACCGGAGCUAAUACCGGAUAAUAUAUUGAACCGCAUGGUUCAAUAGUGAAAGACGGUUUUGCUGUCAUUUAUAGAUGGAUCCGCGCCGCAUUAGCUAGUUGGUAAGGUAACGGCUUACCAAGGCAACGAUGCGUAGCCGACCUGAGAGGGUGAUCGGCCAUACUGGAACUGAGACACGGUCCAGACUCCUACGGGAGGCAGCAGUAGGGAAUCUUCCGCAAUGGGCGAAAGCCUGACGGAGCAACGCCGCGUGAGUGAUGAAGGUCUUCGGAUCGUAAAACUCUGUUAUUAGGGAAGAACAAAUGUGUAAGUAACUAUGCACGUCUUGACGGUACCUAAUCAGAAAGCCACGGCUAACUACGUG